AUUGAACGCUGGCGGCAUGCUUUACACAUGCAAGUCGGACGGCAGCACAGAGAAGCUUGCUUCUUGGGUGGCGAGUGGCGAACGGGUGAGUAACAUAUCGGAACGUACCGAGCAGUGGGGGAUAACUAAUCGAAAGAUUAGCUAAUACCGCAUAUAUUCUGAGGAAGAAAGCAGGGGACCAUUUGGCCUUGCGCUGUUUGAGCGGCCGAUAUCUGAUUAGCUAGUUGGUGGGGUAAAGGCCUACCAAGGCGACGAUCAGUAGCGGGUCUGAGAGGAUGAUCCGCCACACUGGGACUGAGACACGGCCCAGACUCCUACGGGAGGCAGCAGUGGGGAAUUUUGGACAAUGGGCGCAAGCCUGAUCCAGCCAUGCCGCGUGUCUGAAGAAGGCCUUCGGGUUGUAAAGGACUUUUGUCAGGAAAGAAAAAGGCGGGGUUAAUACCCCUGUCUGAUGACGGUACCUGAAGAAUAAG
RNAcentral lists this ribosomal RNA (473 nucleotides) under Neisseria mucosa. RNAcentral's name for it is "bacterial SSU rRNA". It matches the Rfam family "Bacterial small subunit ribosomal RNA", at positions 30 to 490 of the family's 1533-position model. Lineage: Bacteria; Pseudomonadati; Pseudomonadota; Betaproteobacteria; Neisseriales; Neisseriaceae. The record is from RNAcentral.